Long non-coding RNA from Oreochromis niloticus (Nile tilapia), 3055 nucleotides. RefSeq lists it as uncharacterized. The transcript is spliced from 4 exons. The record is from RefSeq and is a predicted model, not a curated record. Lineage: Eukaryota; Metazoa; Chordata; Actinopteri; Cichliformes; Cichlidae.
UACAGCUGCUGCACAGGCUCAGCUCAGCAAGUCAAGUGUGUUAAUGAUAAUGUACAACCUUCAAUUAGACAUACAGCCAAGCAAGACACCCACGUUGACAGGCCAAGUGUCAGUCACUAACACUGAGGACGGAGAGAGAACAGCAGUGAGAGACAGAAGACUCAAAUAAAAGAGCAAAAGAAAGGAGGGAUAAAAACAGGCAUAAAGAUUUUUUAAAUUAUAGACUCUAAUCUGCUCUUUUCAUAAUAUGACGCCUGCAUAUCAUUUACCUCUAAACAAGUGAUAAACAGGAAGUAAAGAUGAGGACAGAAUGAAUAAAACCAGAUGAUGGAGAAAGAUGAGGGGAGAAAAUACGAGGAAAGGAAAACCAGAUAUUUCAGAAGAAAAACUCAGGAAUAGAAAAAAACAAAGGAGAGAGAGGGAACGAGCAAAAACUGACCCAAUCCAGGGAUAAAACACCCGCCCUCCCAUCAUCACACAGUCCCUUGUACUGACACGCAAAAUUAAGGUGCAGUAUUCUCCUGAACAAUAGCUGGCGCCACUCAGACAAUCCUAGCAGAUAAUAAGAGCUGAUACAGAGAAGAAGUCUUUAGUUUUCAAACGACUGCAACAUCUGUAUGUUGUUAUAAACCGACACGAUUGUACGCUCCUGUCUCCAACCCAGGUCUGGUGGCUGCGGUGCAACGCGCUAGGCUUCAAAAAUCAAGCCGACCAAAGAGCCACAAAUACUGGCUAUGCUCUGGAGCACAAAUACACGAUCACAUGAAUGAUGAAGUUCUGCAGUCUGGCUAUGUCAAACAAGUCUUAGCUAACACAAACCAACAAAACUGGAAGGCUAACUCGAGGAGCUAACAGCUGCUCCACUCUGAGGAAACAACAGGAACUGCUGCCCGUCCAUAUGUCCAGCUUUUUUUUCUCUUUUAAUAAGUGGACGAAGCUCUGCGCUGCCCACUUCAACCUCGUCGUUGGUGAGCAAGAAGAUGAGAAAACGAAAAGAAACAAGAAGCAGCACAAGAUGAAAGGAACAUGUAAAAGCUUUCUCAAUCCUCUGGACAGUUCAGAGAACACAGGAGAGCAAACGUUUAUUGUCUCAGGUCAAGGAUUUUUACCUACCGCAGUUCAGAAUGAGCCCACAGGAAAAAAAUGGUCUGAGUGAGAGGACCCAAUCAACUUCUUCCAGUUUAGCGGGCGCUCUGUUUUUGACUUAUCAGAAAAAGUACUUAGUAUCUGUAUAAUCUAACAGUGAAACAAUAUUUAACAGAACUAAGUCUGUGUGUUUAGAAACUAUCAACAGGGAUCAGAUAAAAAGAAACUGACUCAAAUGUUCUGCUGGAGGAGAAAUGAAGCUGCUGGAUGGAACAAAGAAGGACGGACAGCUGUGCAGUCGUGAAUCUUUCUUCUCCACAGUCUCAGCAGCGUUUACUCUGAUCAGCUUAUUGAAGUUCUCUCAGACAUUUAAAACAUGUUCACUCAUGCUGUACCAAACUAACUGAGUAAAUAACAUUCUACUGUGUAUGGUUACAUGCAGUCAUCAAAUCAAACCAGCCCUGUAUGAGAUCAGCGGCUGUGAUUGGUCCUUCACCAGCAAGUGCGGGUGGAAAUUUGUCUAAAUGGAAGAGCUACAGCUCAUAGAUUUUUGUGGUUUUCCUCAUUAGAAAAAAGUGAAAACAUCUUCAGAUCCUCGACAGAGACAAAGAAAACAUUCCUAAAAAUCCUUCAAAUCAGAGUGAAAAAAACCCUUUACAACAGGAAGGACAGGAAAUGUCGGACAGAAGGAGGAAAAGGUGAAAGGAGAUGAGGCGGGCAGGACUCAGAGCAGGAUGAAAUGACGGAGGGCUGAAAACACUUCACUGUAACUACUCUGUUUUCAGCAGCCUCUCACAUCUGGUUGUCAUGGUUGGGGAGGGGUGGAGCUUAUCCCAGCUGGCAUGGAGUGAAAGCAGGGACCCUCCUGUUUGUGCAGACGCUGAGUGGACGUAAAUCAGAGCUGAGCUGGAGGCGCUCGGCCUCAGGAAAGCCCCUCUGCCUCCAACAGACAGCCAGUGUCCUCAGCAGAUGUCGAGGAGCAAUAACAUCAGACAGACUGCACUGCUGAGGCAGACAGCCAUGCACUAUUACACCACAUAGACUUCCAAUAACACUUCCCGGGUAGAUGUAAAAAAGGCAAUAAGAUUAGACAGUCUGCUGCCGACUGCCAAAUGGACUAUAACAGAUCACGGGCCGCGGGGAGACACUCGGCCCGGCUCAGGAGGGAGGGAGGCCGACCGAGCUAACAGCCCUUUUUUGGUCAAUUCUCCAAAGGAUGUUGUUUGCUUAAUUCAAAGAGCUUGAGGUAAAGUUCAGCUCACAAUCCAAAGUUUGUGUCUGCACAAGUGAAUCUUUCAGUAGUCAAAUAAGCACUGAGGCACUGAGUUCAUAUUCAGCAGCCUGAAGUCAGCCACAGAGACGUGUCCUUUUUGUGCAGCUCGUUAUGAUCAGCUGAAGUUGCACACGUGGCAGAUGUUGUUCACUAUUGUCACGUCUACAGUUUCAGAGGAUCUAAAGUUUUGUCCGUAUGAAUACAGAGCCUGAGGACGAGGCUGCAAGCAGCUGCAGUGAUCUCCUAAAACAGCAUGCGGCUGCAGCUGGAAGGCGGAGCGUGAAACUGUGCCACACAUCAGAAGAAGCCAUCGGAGCGACACGCUGAUUUACUGGAAUACACAUCUGUAAUUACAGCCAGAGCGCCGCGUGCCUCGAUGAUAGCGCCGUGAAAGCGAUUAGCCUGUUAGCUUUCAUCGAGCACACCGAGCUCUUUCCUUCCUGACUGUUAAAAAUAAAACACCGUACAACACUUUCCUCAUCACGCACGCUCACACGCUGCUGCUUUCACUGUUGUUUGCUGUUUUACAUAUUUUCCUAAUAUCGCAGUUUGAUCUUUUAUAAAAUCUGCUGCCAGCGUCCGUGUUUGCGAUUGGUCAGAACGACCAGGUCUGCGUUAAUUCAUCGAGUUUACAACCAGCUUCUUCUUUUUUCUCCAGUGUGUGGAUGUGUGUGUGAAUGGGUGGAUGACUGGAUA